Molecule: long non-coding RNA, 2155 nt
Organism: Equus asinus (donkey)
Lineage: Eukaryota; Metazoa; Chordata; Mammalia; Perissodactyla; Equidae
Source: Ensembl
AGAGAGUCGGAGCCGCUGCGUGGGUGAUGUCUGCCAAGAAUUUGGUCUGUCUCCCCGCCCCCAUUCCCACCCUGUGCCAGUACACUUAGUGCUUCCUGCUGAGCUCCUUAGGCAUCCGGGACAUGACCUCCAGUAGCUCUGUAGGCUCCGUUUCCAUGAUGGGCAGCAAUGCAUGCUGCAGCUGGCUCCUGCAAGAGACCCCAGCUAAGCGCAUGGUGGGGAAGCAGCAAGGACUAAAUGAAGCUCAUCAUGCUCACUGCCUGCCACUGAGGGCUUCCAGUUGUGGCAUGUGGGACGCUGCCUCAGCGUGGUUCGACGAGCAGUGUCAUGUCCGCGCCCAGGAUUCGAACCAACGAAACACUGGGCCGCCUGCAGCGGAGCGCGCAAACUUAACCACUCUGCCACGGGGCCAGCCCCCCUUCCGGGGCCCUUUUGCUGCUGGAUGAGCCUGGUUCUCAGAUUGACAGAGUAGCAAAUAUCUGCGACAAGGAAGAAAAGAAGAUGUCUCAGAGACAAACCACAUCCGCUUUUCCACUUCGACAUGAAAGUGUGCAUGGAGCAGAGGAGAAGCAAAUAGCAAAGCAAACAAGCUUCUCGAGACUGACGAUGUGGUGGUGCUAUCCUGGAUUAGGAGGAGUCCUUCUUCCUGAUUGCCUACUACUGUUAAGAGCACUAAAGUAAGCUUUCCUGGCUGAUGAAGUCCAGCACACAAUGAUUGUGGCACGUGGGACGCUGCCUCAGCGUGGCUUGACGAGCAGUGUCAUGUCCGCGCCCAGGAUCCGAACCAACGAAACACUGGGCCGCCUGCAGCAGAGCGCGCGAACUUAACCGCUCAACCACGGGGCCAGCCCCCCUACUUCAACUCUUCAUCUCACAGAAGAAGUGUAACUUCUAAGCAGAGAUGGUCCCAGGAAAACUGUGAGGGAACAAAGAUUCCGCCUCAUCUGCCUUCAAACUCUCCUUUAUCCCAGGAGAACACCAAAGGCCGAGCUGAGUACCAAGCCAGCUCCUGGAUAUCAGGGCUGCUUUUUUCAAUAUUCACCUACCUCGAUCCAGCAAUUCAACUCCUCAGUAGAUGCCUAAGAAGAAUGAAUGCACAUCCAUAUCCACAAAUAGUCUUAUACAGGAACGUUCAUAGUAGCUGAAAACUGGAAAUAAUCUCAUGUCUAUGAACAGGAGAAUGGAUAAACAAAUUGUGGCAUAGUCAUCAAACACAAUGGAAUAUUACUCAUUAAUAAAAAGGAACGAACUAUUGACACAUACAACAAAAUAUUUGAGUCUCAAAAACAUUAUGUAGAGAGAAAAAAGCCAAACACUAUAGAAACAUAUUGGGUGAUUUCAUUAUUUGUAUUGUAAGGACAAGCAAAAUUUGUGACAAGAGAAAUAAGGCCGCUGAGAAGCGGAACGUGCAAACUUAACCGCUGCGCCACAGGGCAGGCCCUGAAAAAUACUUUUUAAAGAGAAAAAUAUUGCAAUCAAGAGGUAUCAAGUGAUGUGCCCAUGGUUUCAUUGCUGGUAGUAUGUAGGUGUCCCAAAGCAAUACAAUGAUUUCUCUAUUGUCUGCCGAUUAUGAUGUAUUUUCUAUCACUAUCGAAAAUGUAACAUUUCCUUUGAACCUGCUCUUCAUUAAAAUGUGCUGUUCCAAUUUGCUUUCAGUCUCAUCUCAGGUGCUAAUCAUUUUGGGGUGAGUACUCAGGCAUGGGGCUUUAGACACCAAGCCCUCACAGUUUCUCAAAAAGAGUUCUUCUUGACUACCUUUUCUCUAGCACGUCACUGGAGUUACUAGUGAAAGUUCCACUCUGUUCACUGGGGCUCUAAGACAGAGAUGAGGAAUCUUCUCCAUAGAUAUCUAUACAUCAGAAAGGAAUGCAAAACUACUUAAGAACUGAUUGCAAGAUUAGACAAGGGCAACUAUCCACUUGCUCUUUGCCCGCCUCCCUUCCUCACUACAAGACCUUGUUAGUAGUUGUUGCUGAAGAGGGAUAACGUCAGUUCACAUAAACCAGAGCUUCUCUUAUCCAUGUUCCAUCAACCCGCAAAUUUCACAAAUCGCCUCAAUAAGAGUAAUCCUCAAGGCUCCCGCCAAAUCUUUGUCUUACAAUAGAAUAUUUUGAACCAAAUAUAAACAUUGUUUUUGAAGAUUGUCUUGACAUGG